Molecule: ribosomal RNA, 460 nt
Filed under: uncultured Lactarius
Lineage: Eukaryota; Fungi; Basidiomycota; Agaricomycetes; Russulales; Russulaceae
Description: eukaryotic LSU rRNA
Rfam family: 5.8S ribosomal RNA (bases 39-192)
Source: RNAcentral
AGAAUGACCUCAUUUAUGCGCUAACCCGCAAUCAAUACAACUUUCAACAACGGAUCUCUUGGCUCUCGCAUCGAUGAAGAACGCAGCGAAAUGCGAUACGUAAUGUGAAUUGCAGAAUUCAGUGAAUCAUCGAAUCUUUGAACGCACCUUGCGCCCCCUGGUAUUCCGAGGGGCACACCCGUUUGAGUGUCGUGAAAACCUCAACCUCCUUGGUUUCUUCUGGAGACCAAAGCAGGCUUGGACUUUGGAGGCCUUUGCUGGCACCUCUCGCCAGCUCCUCUUAAAUGAAUUAGCAGGGUCCUCUUUGCUGAUCCUCGACGUGUGAUAAGAUGUUUCCAUGUCUUGGUUUCUGGCUCUGUCACCUUUGGGACCCGCUUCNAACCGUCUUCAACCUUGCGUUGAGACACGUUCGAGCAUGUCUCCCUUNNCGGGAAGCUCCCUCGACCCCACGAACCCUUGA